Molecule: long non-coding RNA, 334 nt
Filed under: Equus asinus (donkey)
Lineage: Eukaryota; Metazoa; Chordata; Mammalia; Perissodactyla; Equidae
Description: lncRNA (ENSEASG00005034593.1)
Source: RNAcentral
CUUGAGGAAUGUAUUUUUCUUCUCUUUCUUCUAUUGUGUACCCGCUCUCCUCAUGGCCCUGUUCUGCUCAGAGAGGCUCUCCUUCGCCACUGUCAUUUGUAUUCAGCCAUUGUGCUGAAUUACAUUCAGACAUUGUGUUGGGGUGGAGAUUAAACCAAAAAUCCAUGGAAUGUCUCCUACAGGAUGUAAAAUUCUACAUGAUUGGCCUUGUAUUGGCAGUUUCUGGAAAGCAGCAACCUUGCCUGCCUUAUAUUCAUUCCUAUGUUUGUCACAUAGGUUCUUGGCAUGGUGCCCGGCAUGUAUGGGUGCUCAAUAAAUGCUCUGUGAAUAAACA